AGAGUUUGAUCCUGGCUCAGAUUGAACGCUGGCGGCAGGCUUAACACAUGCAAGUCGAGCGGUAACAGAAAGUAGCUUGCUAUUUUGCUGACGAGCGGCGGACGGGUGAGUAAUGCCUAGGAAUCUGCCUAGUAGUGGGGGAUAACUUGCCGAAAGGUAAGCUAAUACCGCAUACGUCCUACGGGAGAAAGCAGGGGACCUUCGGGCCUUGCGCUAUUAGAUGAGCCUAGGUCGGAUUAGUUAGUUGGUGAGGUAAUGGCUCACCAAGACCGCGAUCCGUAACUGGUCUGAGAGGAUGAUCAGUCACACUGGAACUGAGACACGGUCCAGACUCCUACGGGAGGCAGCAGUGGGGAAUAUUGGACAAUGGGGGAAACCCUGAUCCAGCCAUGCCGCGUGUGUGAAGAAGGUCUUAGGAUUGUAAAGCACUUUAAGUUGGGAGGAAGGGCAGUUAACUAAUAUUUGACUGUUUUGACGUUACCGACAGAAUAAGCACCGGCUAACUUCGUGCCAGCAGCCGCGGUAAUACGAAGGGUGCAAGCGUUAAUCGGAAUUACUGGGCGUAAAGCGCGCGUAGGUGGUUCGUUAAGUUAGGAGUGAAAGCCCCGGGCUCAACCUGGGAAUUGCUUCUAAAACUGGCGGGCUAGAGUAUGGUAGAGGGUGGUGGAAUUUCCUGUGUAGCGGUGAAAUGCGUAGAUAUAGGAAGGAACAUCAGUGGCGAAGGCGACCACCUGGACUGAUACUGACACUGAGGUGCGAAAGCGUGGGGAGCAAACAGGAUUAGAUACCCUGGUAGUCCACGCCGUAAACGAUGUCAACUAGUUGUUGGGUUCCUUGAGGACUUAGUAACGCAGCCAACGCAUUAAGUUGACCGCCUGGGGAGUACGGCCGCAAGGUUAAAACUCAAAUGAAUUGACGGGGGCCCGCACAAGCGGUGGAGCAUGUGGUUUAAUUCGAAGCUACGCGAAGAGCCUUACCUGGCCUUGACAUGCUGAGAACUUUCUAGAGAUAGAUUGGUGCCUUCGGGAACUCAGACACAGGUGGUGCAUGGUUGUCGUCAGCUCGUGUCGUGAGAUGUUGGGUUAAGUCCCGCAACGAGCGCAACCC
This 1107-nucleotide ribosomal RNA is filed under the name uncultured bacterium. Its description in RNAcentral is "bacterial SSU rRNA". It matches the Rfam family "Bacterial small subunit ribosomal RNA", at positions 8 to 1104 of the family's 1533-position model. The record is from RNAcentral.